UUCCCUUGAGAGGUUAUUCUUAAUUCCUACUUAUCUGGUGCCAUUUCUUUGGAAAGAAGUUUAUCUGUGUCAUUUCUUUGGAAGUAAGUUUAUAUUCUCUGUUUCUCAUUAAUUCAGGAAAGGUGACUACUACUGGUAUCUUGCUGAGUUUAAGACUGACCAGGAAAGAAAAGAGAUUAUUCUUAUGAGAUUAUCUUGCUGGUAUCCAACUUCUCUGUCUUCUAUUAUGAGAUUAUGAAUUCUCUUGAGAGGUACAUAUGCCUUGGCUUGAAGGAGUAUUUGAUUAGCUCAUAAAAAGUUGUUGUGACUUUGUUUGCCGCAAUGGUUGAUUAGAAAAUGAGUUAUGCAUUAUCACAGGGAUGGAAACUCAAAGGAGCAUGAUCAUCCAAAAAUGGAUACUUCGCACAAGGUCAUUGAUCCAUAUUGGAAACAUUGGGUUACAUUGCUUCUACCAGUGUGUCAUUGGUUGGCUCUCUCAUGUUAAAUUAUUUAUUUAUUUAUUUUGGAUUAGCUAGGAUGAUUCUUU
This is a non-coding RNA of Camellia sinensis, 526 nucleotides long. The record is from RefSeq and is a predicted model, not a curated record. NCBI's taxonomy places the organism in Eukaryota, Viridiplantae, Streptophyta, Magnoliopsida, Ericales, Theaceae.